This 796-nucleotide ribosomal RNA is filed under the name uncultured Bacillota bacterium. Its description in RNAcentral is "bacterial SSU rRNA". It matches the Rfam family "Bacterial small subunit ribosomal RNA", at positions 75 to 902 of the family's 1533-position model. Lineage: Bacteria; Bacillati; Bacillota. The record is from RNAcentral.
UGGAGCAAUCCAUGAGUAAAGUGGCGACCGGGUGAGUAACACGUGACUAACCUACCUCCAAGUGGGGAAUAACUCCGGGAAACCGGGGCUAAUACCGCAUAACAUCGCAAGAUCAAAGCAGCAAUGCGCUGGGAGAGGGGGUCGCGGCUGAUUAGCUAGUUGGCGGGGUAACGGCCCACCAAGGCGAAGAUCGGUAUCCGGCCUGAGAGGGCGCACGGACACACUGGAACUGAAACACGGUCCAGACUCCUACGGGAGGCAGCAGUGGGGAAUUUUGCGCAAUGGGGGAAACCCUGACGCAGCAACGCCGCGUGGAGGAUGAAGCCCCUUGGGGCGUAAACUCCUUUCGACCAAGACGAUAAUGACGGUACUGGUGGAAGAAGCACCGGCUAACUCUGUGCCAGCAGCCGCGGUAAUACAGAGGGUGCGAGCGUUGUUCGGAAUUAUUGGGCGUAAAGGGCGCGUAGGCGGUGCCACAAGUCACUUGUGAAAUCUCCGGGCUUAACUCGGAGCCUGCAGGCGAAACUGUGGUGCUGGAGUGUGGGAGAGGUGCGUGGAAUUCCCGGUGUAGCGGUGAAAUGCGUAGAUAUCGGGAGGAACACCUGUGGCGAAAGCGGCGCACUGGACCAUAACUGACGCUGAGGCGCGAAAGCUAGGGGAGCAAACAGGAUUAGAUACCCUGGUAGUCCUAGCCCUAAACGAUGAUUGCUUGGUGUAGCGGGUACCCAAUCCUGCUGUGCCGCAGCUAACGCGAUAAGCAAUCCGCCUGGGGAGUACGGUCGCAAGGCUGAAACUC